Molecule: long non-coding RNA, 1116 nt
Organism: Malaclemys terrapin pileata
Lineage: Eukaryota; Metazoa; Chordata; Testudines; Emydidae
Exons: 3
Source: RefSeq, a predicted model, not a curated record
CUAACUAUCUUUGAGCUACUCCUUCAUACUGAUGGAUCCAGACAAAAGAAAGGCAAAACAGUAAUGUGGGGUCUGUGCAAAUGGAUCUUUGGGGAAUGAAGGCUGGGAUAGCUCUCAGGCCUGAAGGAGACUGUGUCAUUGUGAAAGAUGCUGAGUUGUGGCUCACUGACAAGGUCCCCAAUUCUGAAAUUCUUCCGAGGUGAUUCAAAGGAAAAGGAUAAUUACUAGACUUAAUCACCAGGACCAAAGCCUACACCUGUAGUCACACAAAGGAUAAACUUGGAAACUGCAGCACUGAGAUGUCAAGCUUCAGAUUGUACUUUCCAAGAAAUAGCAGCAACUGUGUCUGUGGCGGUCUCCUUGGCAGAUUUCUUGUACACCCUAUUAUCUAGUUCCAUUUCUGGUUUUGCUUGUCGCUAAAGAGCUGUUUGUAGGGGCUGGUUCAUGAUCAGCCUGCUGUCGGGCUGUUCUGGAUGCAAUUAUUCUUUGAUUUACCACUGAACAUGUGGACUUCGCUCUUUUUUCCUACAUUUUAAAAUUAGGCCUUUCCGAAGUCUUAGUCACAUCUUUUUCAGACGAAAUAAAAGAUGUUUUGUUAAGUUUGAUUUAUAACAAAAUAUUCAUAAGGAAGCCAUCACACAUUAUAGAGGAUAUCCCUUGCAAAAUGAGGUUUUGUUAACCAUAGAUUACACUCAAAGCCUCCCCUGAAAAAAAACAAAAGGGACUCUGUCUGGGUAAACUGUUUAUUAAAAAAUAAAGGCCUGUUACUGCACCUACUGAAGUCAAUGGAAAAGCUUCCAUUUUCUCCAGUGAAACAGGAUCAGACCCUAAAUGUCUAUAAACAUUAGCUUUUGAGAUGACAACUCAAUUUCUCUUGAGAGAUUAUUGGUACUGUAAAUGAAAAACUUCAAAGCUAUCAAAAAUCGGCUCAGAUACAUAAUACACAUAAAACAUCAUUUUGAAUUGUUCCAGAAUUUUUUAUAUUGAACGUGUAAUAGAGCAACUAUGAUACCUUAUGACACUUAAAAUAUGUUAAUAUUAACUAUCUCUGCUUAGAAAUUAUUAAAAUGAUUAUUUUUGUAUGCUGCUUUAAAUUACAUUUCUUCAUUUAUGGCC